GUGGGUCUGGGUGAGGCCUGGGACCAGGCAGAUAAAUUGCUAUUAAAAACACUACCUGCCGAGUUCUAUCCCCGGCACCAAAAAACAAACAAACAAAAAACACUACCUGGAUUCUGCUCCUGUAGCAUAGGAGCACCUCGUGAGCUGUGGAGGCUGUGUACGUAGUUCAGAUGCUUCCUAAUGCUUCGCUCAGUACUGCCUCCCGCACAUGCGUACAUUUCGCUUUGCGUGUAACAUCCGGGCACUAUGCGCCCGGUGGGGGUGAGAGUGACUCUUGACGGCGUCUUCCACUAUCCGCGAGAGUAUACCGAGGCGGUGGACUUUGGGCUGUGUGAGAGCUAUUCUACUCUUGGUAUAUCAGAAAGCUAUGGAUGUGAGGCAAACAAAAGGCAGAAUGUGAGACCUCUCAUAACUCAUUCAGAAGAAAAACCCUUGAUGUUUAACCACUAAUACAGAAGAGAUAAAUCAGUAAUACCACUGAGUAUCACUGUCCUCCCCUGUUGAUGCACCCUUGCUCUUAUUCUGGCCUGCAAGUAAGGUUAGUCCUUCUCCAAAUUCGCUCUAUCUAAACUGUCAUGAAAUCAGUUGUCUUAACCUUAUCUUGAAAGCUGAAGGGAAAGCAAACUGAAAACAGAGAAUAACUUAAAACAGCCA
RNAcentral lists this long non-coding RNA (654 nucleotides) under Fukomys damarensis (Damara mole-rat). RNAcentral's name for it is "lncRNA (ENSFDAG00000024532.1)". Lineage: Eukaryota; Metazoa; Chordata; Mammalia; Rodentia; Bathyergidae. The record is from RNAcentral.